GCCUGGGUGGCUCCGUGGUUGAGCACCUGCCUUUGGCUCAGGGGGUGAUCCUGGGGUCCCGGGAUCAAGUCCCGCCUCGGGCU
Non-coding RNA from Canis lupus familiaris (dog), 83 nucleotides. The record is from Rfam. Lineage: Eukaryota; Metazoa; Chordata; Mammalia; Carnivora; Canidae.